UUCCUCUUCUUCUUUUCUUUUCUUCCUUCUCUUCUCUACUUCGACGCAAAAAAAAAAAAAAAUUCCAUCGACGGAGGAAUUUCCACCGGCGCUCCCCCUCAAUCCCAUCGUCUCUUUUUCCUCGUUGACGCAUCGCCGGUGGUCGUCGUCACUGCUGUCCAGCGUUGCUCGCUGGGAUCGCCGGAAGGUGCCGCUGCCGUCGCUGCUGCGGUUGCUGCUGGAGUCACCGAAGGUGCCGCUGUCGUCGCUGCUGCGGUUGCUGCUGGAGUCGCCGGCCGCCGCUGCUACGUUCGCCGGACUCCUCCAGCUCCGCCAGCGAACGUUCGCCGCCAAUAACGGGAUCCGGCGACGUCUCUGCUGAAGACCCCGUCGACGCUCGAAACAGCCCCGACGCACCCCGAAGUCUACCCGUACAACCCCGAUUAACUCCGAAAAGACCCACAAGGAAAUCAUAUAUGCAUAGCUACUACUAAAUCAUGCUUUGGGAUUGAAAAGAGAGUAUACCUCAAAAUGGUUGGACUUGGUGGUGGAUUGACAAGAAUGGUGGAAAUCUCCUCCUCUUGCUCUCUCUCGGCUCUCUCUUCGUCUCCCUCUCACUCUCUCUUUUUUUUUCUUUGUAUAUUGUAAUGUGAGGAAGAGAUUGAAGGGCUAAAGUAAUAAUUUGUGUGACUCUUGGGUGGGAGAAUUGAUGGUGGAAGAGGGAAGGUGAAGGAGUGGAAAUUGGAGGGUCUCUUGGUGAAGAACCGUCGACCAUGAAGGAAGGAAGAAGAAGAAGGAGAGUUUCUUGGCUUGCUCCCAUUUGUUUGGAGAGAUUUGGGCUUCUCAAUUAAUUAAAUGGUGUUGGGCUCAAUUUGUUGUAAGCCCAACUUCGAAAUAUUAUUACUUGGUUAGAUUUUUAAAUAGUUAGGGCCCAAGCCAUUUUUGUAGAUAGACAUUUGGACUCCAAUUUAAUUUGGAAAGCCCAAAUAUAAAUAUAUAUAUACAUACUU
Long non-coding RNA from Salvia splendens (bonfire salvia), 989 nucleotides. RefSeq lists it as uncharacterized. The record is from RefSeq and is a predicted model, not a curated record. The transcript has 2 exons. Lineage: Eukaryota; Viridiplantae; Streptophyta; Magnoliopsida; Lamiales; Lamiaceae.